ACCGGUGAGGUGGAAACGGAUAGAGUCAGCGUAUCCGACUUGUAUUCAGCUGCGUGGUGUAACGGCCUCCGGUGCUGGCGUCUCCAGAUUGGGAACAGCGCUGGUCGGCCGAGAGCUGUGCUGUGCAUUUGCAAGUGGAGUGCGUCGAGAUUCAUGUGGUGGCGUCACAAACUUUGUUUUGAGGCCAGCUUGCUGGUACCCGAACUGGGCUAGUGAUGUUCACGCAUAUGUGUGUUUGGGGGAAAGGCUUACCGGGACCAGGUGGGGCCCAAUCAAAGGGCCGGGGGGGGCCCCUUGGGACCCGGGCUGCCCAUUUUGUUCGGCCCACUUGGGCUUCCUUGUCUCCCCCUCCUCGAAGAAAAUGGUGCUCUUUUCUCCCCCCCUUUUAAAACCGCCCACCGAGGAUUUUAUGUGGGGC
This 418-nucleotide ribosomal RNA is filed under the name Pratylenchus brachyurus. Its description in RNAcentral is "partial large subunit ribosomal RNA". The record is from RNAcentral. Lineage: Eukaryota; Metazoa; Nematoda; Chromadorea; Rhabditida; Pratylenchidae.